Molecule: ribosomal RNA, 906 nt
Filed under: uncultured bacterium
Lineage: Bacteria
Description: bacterial SSU rRNA
Rfam family: Bacterial small subunit ribosomal RNA
Source: RNAcentral
GCAGUCGAGGGGUAUAGUUCUUCGGAACUAGAGACCGGCGCACGGGUGCGUAACGCGUAUGCAAUCUACCUUUUACAGAGGGAUAGCCCAGAGAAAUUUGGAUUAAUACCUCAUAGUAUAUAGCCCUGGCAUCAGGAUUAUAUUAAAGUCACAACGGUAAAAGAUGAGCAUGCGUCCCAUUAGCUAGUUGGUAAGGUAACGGCUUACCAAGGCUACGAUGGGUAGGGGUCCUGAGAGGGAGAUCCCCCACACUGGUACUGAGACACGGACCAGACUCCUACGGGAGGCAGCAGUGAGGAAUAUUGGACAAUGGGCGCAAGCCUGAUCCAGCCAUGCCGCGUGCAGGAUGACGGUCCUAUGGAUUGUAAACUGCUUUUAUACGAGAAGAAACACUCCUUCGUGAAGGAGCUUGACGGUAUCGUAAGAAUAAGGAUCGGCUAACUCCGUGCCAGCAGCCGCGGUAAUACGGAGGAUCCAAGCGUUAUCCGGAAUCAUUGGGUUUAAAGGGUCCGUAGGCGGUUUAAUAAGUCAGUGGUGAAAGCCCAUCGCUCAACGGUGGAACGGCCAUUGAUACUGUUAGACUUGAAUUAUUAGGAAGUAACUAGAAUAUGUAGUGUAGCGGUGAAAUGCUUAGAGAUUACAUGGAAUACCAAUUGCGAAGGCAGGUUACUACUAAUUGAUUGACGCUGAUGGACGAAAGCGUGGGUAGCGAACAGGAUUAGAUACCCUGGUAGUCCACGCCGUAAACGAUGGAUACUAGCUGUUGGAAGCAAGUUCAGUGGCUAAGCGAAAGUGAUAAGUAUCCCACCUGGGGAGUACGUUCGCAAGAAUGAAACUCAAAGGAAUUGACGGGGGCCCGCACAAGCGGUGGAGCAUGUGGUUUAAUUCGAUGAUACGCGAGGAACC